GAAGUUGGCUUCCUUGUGUUUCGCGAUGUUUUGAGAUUUUAUCAAUAUUCACGUGUUCACUGAGGUAUGUCUGGCUACGUCGGCGUGCACUUCUCCUCUAGUAGAACGUCGCGACCCGCUGGGUGUCGGUUUAAGGACUAAGUUGUCGACUGUUCCGUCGUUACGGCGUACGGUAACAGACGCUUUGGAUCCCGACCGGCUGUCCGGCGGUACACGUAAGGUAUUGAGCCGCACUUGAAUGCGUUCAGACUCGUAACAAGCUCAAUUAUUUCCCAGGGUGUUCGGAUUGAAUGCCGUCAUCUUGGGGUGGUUAGCUGUUGGUUAAUGAUGUUCUCGAACUGGCUUAAAUUGAAUUAAAGAUACCUGUCAGCGACGCUAUUGCUUUGGGUACUUUCAGGACCCGUCUUGAAACACGGACCAAGGAGUCUAACAUGUGCGCGAGUCAUUGGGAUAUUUAAACCUAAAGGCGCAUUGAAAGAAAAAAUCGACCUUGCGUCGAUUGAGGGAGGAUGGGCAACGUUCAGAUGUUGCUUCGCACUCCCGGGGCGUCUCGUUGUCACCUCGUGUGACUUGAGGCGCACCUAGAGCGUACACGUUGGGACCCGAAAGAUGGUGAACUAUGCCUGGUCAGGAUGAAGUCAGGGGAAACCCUGAUGGAGGUCCGUAGCGAUUUCUGACGUGCAAUCGAUCGUCGAA
This 696-nucleotide ribosomal RNA is filed under the name Trichoteleia sp. OSUC 266092. RNAcentral's name for it is "partial 28S ribosomal RNA". It matches the Rfam family "Eukaryotic large subunit ribosomal RNA", at positions 423 to 909 of the family's 3401-position model. The record is from RNAcentral. Lineage: Eukaryota; Metazoa; Arthropoda; Insecta; Hymenoptera; Scelionidae.